This 459-nucleotide ribosomal RNA is filed under the name uncultured bacterium. Its description in RNAcentral is "partial 16S ribosomal RNA". It matches the Rfam family "Bacterial small subunit ribosomal RNA", at positions 338 to 795 of the family's 1533-position model. The record is from RNAcentral.
CCUACGGGUGGCUGCAGUGAGGAAUAUUGGUCAAUGGACGAGAGUCUGAACCAGCCAAGUAGCGUGAAGGAUGACUGCCCUAUGUGUUGUAAACCUCUUUUGUCAGGGAGCAAGGUGCAGGUCGGGACCUGCUGUGAGAGUACCUGAAGAAAAAGCAUCGGCUAACUCCGUGCCAGCAGCCGCGGUAAUACGGAGGAUGCGAGCGUUAUCCGGAUUUAUUGGGUUGAAAGGGUGCGCAGGCGGAGGCACAAGUCAGCGGUAAAAUCGCGGGGCUCAACCCCGCGCCGCCGUUGAAACUGUGUCCCUUGAGUGCGCGAAGGGUAGGCGGAAUGCGUGGUGUAGCGGUGAAAUGCAUAGAUAUCACGCAGAACUCCGAUCGCGAAGGCAGCCUACCGGCGCGCAACUGACGCUCAUGCACGAAAGCGUGGGUAUCGAACAGGAUUAGAUACCCGAGUAGUC